Molecule: transfer RNA, 69 nt
Filed under: Rattus norvegicus (Norway rat)
Lineage: Eukaryota; Metazoa; Chordata; Mammalia; Rodentia; Muridae
Rfam family: tRNA
About the family: Transfer RNA (tRNA) molecules are approximately 80 nucleotides in length.
Source: Rfam by way of RNAcentral
GGGGAUUUAGCUCAGUGGUAGAGUGCUUGCCUACCAAGCACAAAGCCCUGGGUUCGGUCCCCAGCUCUG